GUCUAAAGAAGAUUUAGAUCUGAAUUGACUGAUCAUCGCUUUGAAGGCCACCAGGAACAAUUAUGGUAAUCCAGUACAAUUUUGUCUAGAUGAUAGGCUGUAGCAUUUUGCCUAGUGGUUGUUUGCAUAGCAUCCAUAAUACUGGCUGAGUUCAUAGAAUAUUGUUUUGAAAAGUUGCGGCUCUUGACUUUAAGUUUUCAUAUGAUUGAAAAUCCAUCUUAAUGGAAACCUUUUGGGGAAACUUCUCUGGGUUAUAUUCAACAAAUUUCUACUCUGAACAGAUCCAUUGACCCAAAUUAGACAUGUAUAUCAAUUUCAAUGGGCCUACUGUGGGUAUUACUAACAUUGGACAGAACCUCUGUAUGUCAUAGACAAGACCAACUACUCAUCCAUUGACCGGUAUUAUCCUAUUAUUUUCUAAACAAUACCUAUACAGUACUGUUCUGUACCAUCUCAAUUCUCUAUACUGGCCUCUUUUAUUCUGAGAUGGAGUUUAGAUCUACAGAGCUCUCAAAGGCUGGGUCUUGGCACCAACUCUCUCUUGAAAGCUGGCAGUAACCUUGUGUCAUUGCCCUCCGUGAGCCAGUAGACUCGCUCUUCUAUUAAACUCACCACUCACAUUGAUCAUUAAAAUGCUCAUCUUGGGUACCCAACUCUCAUUUAGACAAACAAGGAAUAAGAAGCAGCUUCUGGCUUGUCCUUCGGUUCUGACUUACUCUUCAAUCCCACCAAUUGGCGUUUCUCCUGGAUCCUGGUCCCUGGCUCAGACUGUGGUCCACAGCUUGGCCCUGACUUGCAAUAAUUUCCCAAACUCCAGUGGCUUGCAGAUGCUACAGUGCUGGGUGAUGAACAUGUGUAGUUGUUCCAACAGUGAACUGAUAGUUUGCUGGCUUAUCAUCAGACAACCAGUGUUGGGAGUAGCACUUGGAAAAAAUGUUGCUCAAACUGGGAAGGGGGAGAAGCUUAGACAGAAAGGUACCCUAUUCUUCCCUCACUGAUUCCUUAUUAAGUAACUACCUUUAGAUUGUUUCCCACCCCCCUCAGGCUUAACUUUCUCCUCCUUGAGUAACUUAGUAUUAGACCUAUCUUGUGUUGAACUCAUGAUGACCCUAUAGUACUCAGGAUGGCUUUGUUUGCCUGGAGUAAUAAACCUUAACUUGCUUUAUUCUUCCAACACCACCAGACUGUUUCUUUCUGCACCUGGGUGCUAUAUAUAACAAACUCACUUCAACUCUGUAUGUUACAAAUUACAAAAUACAAUUCCCUCAAAUGGACUCUUGUUUCCUCAUCUUAGCAGGUGUGUAUAGAUGCGUGAGAGAAGACCGACUGAUCGACAAGACAAAGCCCCUUCAACAAGCUUUGGUGGCUGUGUCCUUCAAAACACUCAAGAGAGGACUCCGGGUGGCAGGAGGCCACCUCUUGACAACUAGCUCCCAUAAAGAGAUGUCAGCCAACCACACAGGACUGUCCACCAGCACUCUACCUAACAAACAGAAUGGACAACCAGCAGUCUCUAACGCCAUGACCCUGAGGUAGCCAACAUGGUGCCCAUCUGAUAUUGUUAGAUUCCAGCUCCCAUUAGCCCCAGCCAACAUGGCCAAUGGUUGAGAUGCUUGGAGUUGCAGUCCAACGACAUCUGGAGGUCAUGACGUUGUCUCUCUCUGCCGUAAAAGCUCUACUGGUGUCUUAGACUAUAAACACAUUUCUGUUUGCGUGAUGGCCUUAGGCCACCUUGGAAAUGAAGAUGCUCACGGCAUUCAUGUUUGUUGCAGCUCCUCAGAAAUGCUCUCUAGUCGCGUUUACCUCCUGGUCAAGAGAGUUUGGAUCAUAUAGCUCACAUACUUCACUCCUAGCCUUCCUGGUACAUGCAUUAUUUACCACAAGGCAAUUUAAUUUGGGCUUAGUAAUUACUGUUUUCCCAUUUAUUGUGAUCAAAUUACGCCUAGCAUGUUUCCAUUUUGCAAGGUAAAUUUCCUCCCAGUAACUCCAAUCUACUCUAUAUGAAAUCUGAUUGAAAUAGACAACUAACUUUUGAUUCAUGCCCACAGCGCCUCAAAGCACCACAGCAGGUGGAGAGGGUGUUGAAACAAAUCAAGAGGCAGCCCAUAGAACUAGCUGACCUCUCAGUGGCCUUGAUUUGUAAAGGCAAGUCUGGCUUUUGUGAAUUUCUAACAGUGCGAUGCUUACAAAGUGCAAAUCUCCACCCCACCCCCCUAAGUUCCCUUAGCAGUUGGCAUAUAUUACGUGCACACACACACACACACACACACACACACACAGCAGGCUCCUGUCUGCCAGCACUCGGGUGAUUUUUCUGUCUGCACCUCCUCUGUGCACAAAGGCAGAAAUUUUGCAAGUUCUUGAAAAAUGCUUCACAGUGGUUAUUUUAUUAUUGCAGAUGCAGAAUGUUUUGCAAAGGUCGCCAGAGGAUGAGGGUUCCCUCCCCACACACACUUCUGUAAGCACAGCAUAGAGGUCCUUCUAAACUACGUGUUGGGUAUUUUGAUUAGUUGGAGCUGCAAAUGUAUAUGCUAUAAUUACCUUAAUUCCAUGUUAUUGUGGUGGGAAGCCAACUCCUGUAGUGUGGACGGG
Podarcis lilfordi (Lilford's wall lizard) is the source of this 2592-nucleotide non-coding RNA. Lineage: Eukaryota; Metazoa; Chordata; Lepidosauria; Squamata; Lacertidae. The record is from the annotation of a GenBank genome assembly.